RNAcentral lists this ribosomal RNA (303 nucleotides) under uncultured bacterium. Its description in RNAcentral is "bacterial SSU rRNA". It matches the Rfam family "Bacterial small subunit ribosomal RNA", at positions 355 to 655 of the family's 1533-position model. The record is from RNAcentral.
UGAGGAAUAUUGGUCAAUGGGCGGAAGCCUGAACCAGCCAAGUCGCGUGAGGGAAGAAGGCCCUGCGGGUCGCAGACCUCUUUGGACGGGGAGCAAGGCCGCGGACGCGUCCGCGGAAGGAGAGUACCCGUAGAACAAGCAUCGGCUAACUCCGUGCCAGCAGCCGCGGUAAUACGGAGGAUGCGAGCGUUAUCCGGAUUUAUUGGGUUUAAAGGGUGCGCAGGCGGCCCGACAAGCCGGCGGUCAAAUCGCGGGGCUCAACCCCGUCCAGCCGUCGGAACUGCCGGGCUAGAGUGGGCGAGA